UACGAAGGGGGCGAGCGUUAUUCGGAAUCACUGGGCGUAAAGCGUGCGUAGGCGGUCUCGCAAGUUGGAAGUGAAAUCCCAGGGCUCAACCCUGGAACUGCUUUCAAAACUGCAAGACUCGAAUUCGGGAGAGGAUAGCGGAAUUUCCAGUGUAGUAGUGAAAUACGUAGAUAUUGGAAGGAACACCAGUGGCGUAGGCGGCUAUCUGGCCCGACAUUGACGCUGAGGCACGAAAGCGUGGGGAUCAAAC
Molecule: ribosomal RNA, 250 nt
Filed under: uncultured bacterium
Lineage: Bacteria
Description: partial 16S ribosomal RNA
Rfam family: Bacterial small subunit ribosomal RNA
Source: RNAcentral